UAUCUCUGUAGAGUCUGCAUAUCAAUAAGCGGAGGAAAAGAAACUAACAAGGAUUCCCUUAGUAACGGCGAGUGAAGCGGGAAGAGCUCAAAUUUGAAAUCUUCAAGGUUUUACCUUGACGAAUUGUAGUUUAAAGAAGUGUUUUCUGUUGAAGUUUCGGUAAAAGUUCUUUGGAAUAGGACAUCAUAGAGGGUGAGAAUCCCGUAUUUGACCGUUAUUUUCAGCUGUGUGAUACACUUUCAAAGAGUCGGAUUGUUUGGGAAUGCAGUCCAAAAUGGGUGGUAAACUUCAUCUAAAGCUAAAUAUUGGCGAGAGACCGACAGCGAACAAGUACCGUGAGGGAAAGAUGAAAAGAACUUUGAAAAGAGAGUUAAACAGUACGUGAAAUUGUCAAAAGGGAAGCGUUUGACACCAGUGUUGUUUUUCCGAAAAUCAAUUACGAAUGGCUUGAUUCUGUGUUGUAUUGACCUUAUCAGCUUUCUUCACUUUUUUCGAGUCUUUCUUAAUGCACUUUUCGGUUAACAAGUCAACAUCAAUUUCUUUUGUUGUAAAAGAGUAUUCGGAAGGUGGCUUUCUUUUCGGAGAAAGUGUUUAUAGCCCUAUACUUCUACAAUCGGAGAGAUUGAGGUCUGCAGCGUAGAUCUUUCGGGGUUAGAUACAUUUGUGCUAAGUUAUAGCCUUUCAUAGACAACUUGUUGACUAUGAUCAGUCAUGUAGCUUACUCGCUGAUGCUAUUUUACCUACGCUUAGGAUGUUGAAGAUGUAGCACAUCAU
Molecule: ribosomal RNA, 774 nt
Filed under: uncultured Neocallimastigales
Lineage: Eukaryota; Fungi; Neocallimastigomycota; Neocallimastigomycetes; Neocallimastigales
Description: partial large subunit ribosomal RNA
Rfam family: Eukaryotic large subunit ribosomal RNA
Source: RNAcentral